This 447-nucleotide ribosomal RNA is filed under the name uncultured bacterium. Its description in RNAcentral is "bacterial SSU rRNA". It matches the Rfam family "Bacterial small subunit ribosomal RNA", at positions 355 to 825 of the family's 1533-position model. The record is from RNAcentral.
UCGGGAAUUUUGGGCAAUGGGCGAAAGCCUGACCCAGCAACGCCGCGUGAAGGAUGAAGUAUUUCGGUAUGUAAACUUCGAAAGAAUAGGAAGAAUAAAUGACGGUACUAUUUAUAAGGUCCGGCUAACUACGUGCCAGCAGCCGCGGUAAUACGUAGGGACCAAGCGUUGUUCGGAUUUACUGGGCGUAAAGGGCGCGUAGGCGGCAAUUCAAGUCAUCUGUGAAAUCUCCGGGCUUAACUCGGAACGGUCAGAUGAUACUGCUUUGCUAGAGUGCAGAAGGGGCAAUCGGAAUUCUUGGUGUAACGGUGAAAUGCGUAGAUAUCAAGAGGAACACCUGAGGUGAAGACGGGUUGCUGGGCUGACACUGACGCUGAGGCGCGAAAGCCAGGGGAGCAAACGGGAUUAGAUACCCCAGUAGUCCCUGAGCGGGCUGGCAAGGCGCAU